RNAcentral lists this ribosomal RNA (414 nucleotides) under uncultured bacterium. Its description in RNAcentral is "bacterial SSU rRNA". It matches the Rfam family "Bacterial small subunit ribosomal RNA", at positions 86 to 518 of the family's 1533-position model. The record is from RNAcentral.
GAUAACAUAGUGGCGACGGGUGAGUAACACGUGAGCAACCUGCCUCUGAGAGAGGGAUAGCUUCUGGAAACGGAUGGUAAUACCUCAUAACAUACGAAACCGCAUGAUUUUGUUAUCAAAGAUUUAUCACUCAGAGAUGGGCUCGCGUCUGGAUUAGGUAGUUGGUGAGGUAACGGCUCACCAAGCCGACGAUCAGUAGCCGGACUGAGAGGUUGAACGGCCACAUUGGGACUGAGACACGGCCCAGACUCCUACGGGAGGCAGCAGUGAGGGAUAUUGCACAAUGGAGGAAACUCUGAAUGCAGCGAUGCCGCGUGGAGGAAGAAGGUUUUCGGAUUGUAAACUCCUGUUUCGAGGGACGAUAAUGACGGUACCUCGGGAGGAAGCUCCGGCUAACUACGUGCCAGCCGCAGC